GAUGAACGCUGGCGGCGUGCCUAAUACAUGCAAGUCGAGCGAACGGACGAGAAGCUUGCUUCUCUGAUGUUAGCGGCGGACGGGUGUGUAACACGUGGAUAACCUACCUAUAAGACUGGGAUAACUUCGGGAAACCGGAGCUAAUACCGGAUAAUAUUUUGAACCGCAUGGUUCAAAAGUGAAAGGCGGUCUUGCUGUCACUUAUAGAUGGAUCCGCGCUGCAUUAGCUAGUUGGUAAGGUAACGGCUUACCAAGGCAACGAUGCAUAGCCGACCUGAGAGGGUGAUCGGCCACACUGGAACUGAGACACGGUCCAGACUCCUACGGGAGGCAGCAGUAGGGAAUCUUCCGCAAUGGGCGAAAGCCUGACGGAGCAACGCCGCGUGAGUGAUGAAGGUCUUCGGAUCGUAAAACUCUGUUAUUAGGGAAGAACAUAUGUGUAAGUAACUGUGCACAUCUUGACGGUACCUAAUCAGAAAGCCACGGCUAACUACGUG
Molecule: ribosomal RNA, 497 nt
Filed under: uncultured bacterium
Lineage: Bacteria
Description: partial 16S ribosomal RNA
Rfam family: Bacterial small subunit ribosomal RNA
Source: RNAcentral